This 680-nucleotide long non-coding RNA is filed under the name Heterocephalus glaber (naked mole-rat). Its description in RNAcentral is "lncRNA (ENSHGLG00100038109.1)". The record is from RNAcentral. Lineage: Eukaryota; Metazoa; Chordata; Mammalia; Rodentia; Bathyergidae.
GGGCUGACGGAUAAUUUUCCAAGCCUUUGUGACGUGACAUCGUAGACGGCAUUUUUGAGCUGCCAUGGCUCAUGAUGAGGGAGUUGAAAUAGAGGAGUUAAUGUGCUUGUAUUUAAAGCCUCUCCAAAGCCUCCUCGACAACUUCAGAGCCAAGAUUUCAGGAAACCGGGAUCAAUUUGAAACCUGGUGCAGUUGAAAACACUCUUUCAUCACAUGCUUAGCAGAAGUUCAAGUGCACCAGAGAAUGCAGCCAAGAAUCUGUCUGCUAGAUUCACUGUCAGAAUGUCAUGUUUCACAUCUACCCGAACUCCUAUCUGAUGCAGCUGACGGAAACAAAGAAAAUCUGCAACAGGAAAAGCUCUCCGCAGACCCCCUCAAACUGGUAAUUCCAGAGGAAUCACGGACAAGUCAAGUCUCGAAGAAUGGUGAUAUUUUCACAUUCAUGGAUGGGAAAAGAAGCAAGUGAAAGAGUCCAUGAGAACACGCUAUUUAAAUGUGUGUUGUGGUUCUACCAGUAGGACAUAUAGUAUACAGUGGAAAAACUACUAGCAGGCUACAAAGAGUUUGUUAUUUGGUUUAUAUCUUCUUACUUCACCUUAGGCAAGCACAGCAUCUCGUAUUUAUUCCAAAGCAUUUACCAUCCUUCUUUGGAUUAAAUAAAUUAUUAUUGAAGACAGCAG